RNAcentral lists this ribosomal RNA (465 nucleotides) under Vreelandella stevensii. RNAcentral describes it as "partial 16S ribosomal RNA". It matches the Rfam family "Bacterial small subunit ribosomal RNA", at positions 338 to 795 of the family's 1533-position model. The record is from RNAcentral. Lineage: Bacteria; Pseudomonadati; Pseudomonadota; Gammaproteobacteria; Oceanospirillales; Halomonadaceae.
CCUACGGGGGGCAGCAGUGGGGAAUAUUGGACAAUGGGGGCAACCCUGAUCCAGCCAUGCCGCGUGUGUGAAGAAGGCCCUCGGGUUGUAAAGCACUUUCAGUGAGGAAGAACGCCUGGUGGUUAAUACCCAUCAGGAAAGACAUCACUCACAGAAGAAGCACCGGCUAACUCCGUGCCAGCAGCCGCGGUAAUACGGAGGGUGCGAGCGUAAAUCGGAAUUACUGGGCGUAAAGCGCGCGUAGGUGGCUUGAUAAGCCGGUUGUGAAAGCCCCGGGCUCAACCUGGGAACGGCAUCCGGAACUGUCAAGCUAGAGUGCAGGAGAGGAAGGUAGAAUUCCCGGUGUAGCGGUGAAAUGCGUAGAGAUCGGGAGGAAUACCAGUGGCGAAGGCGGCCUUCUGGACUGACACUGACACUGAGGUGCGAAAGCGUGGGUAGCAAACAGGAUUAGAUACCCUGGUAGUC